This 252-nucleotide ribosomal RNA is filed under the name uncultured bacterium. RNAcentral's name for it is "partial 16S ribosomal RNA". It matches the Rfam family "Bacterial small subunit ribosomal RNA", at positions 525 to 776 of the family's 1533-position model. The record is from RNAcentral.
ACGUAGGGCGCAAGCGUUGUCCGGAAUCAUUGGGCGUAAAGAGCUCGUAGGCGGUCUGUCACGUCGGAUGUGAAAACUCGGGGCUUAACCCCGAGCCUGCAUUCGAUACGGGCAGACUAGAGUUCGGUAGGGGAGACUGGAAUUCCUGGUGUAGCGGUGGAAUGCGCAGAUAUCAGGAGGAACACCGGUGGCGAAGGCGGGUCUCUGGGCCGAUACUGACGCUGAGGAGCGAAAGCGUGGGGAGCGAACAGG